CUAAUACAUGCAAGUCGAACGAAACUUCUUUAUCACCGAGUGCUUGCACUCACCGAUAAAGAGUUGAGUGGCGAACGGGUGAGUAACACGUGGGCAACCUGCCCUAAAGAGGGGGAUAACACUUGGAAACAGGUGCUAAUACCGCAUAACCAUAGUUACCGCAUGGCCACUAUGUAAAAGGUGGCUAUGCUACCGCUUUUGGAUGGGCCCGCGGCGCAUUAGUUAGUUGGUGAGGUAAAGGCUUACCAAGGCAAUGAUGCGUAGCCGAACUGAGAGGUUGAUCGGCCACAUUGGGACUGAGACACGGCCCAAACUCCUACGGGAGGCAGCAGUAGGGAAUCUUCCACAAUGGGCGAAAGCCUGAUGGAGCAACGCCGCGUGGGUGAAGAAGGUCUUCGGAUCGUAAAACCCUGUUGUUAGAGAAGAAAGUGCGUGAGAGUAACUGUUCACGUUUCGACGGUAUCUAACCAGAAAGCCACGGCUAACUACGUGCCUGCCUCCGCGGUAAUACGUAUGUGGCAAGCGUUAUCCGGAUUUAUUGGGCGUAACGGGAACUCAUGCGGUCUUUUAAGUCUGAUGUGAUAGCCUUCGGCUUAACCGGAGUAGUGCAUUGGAAACUGGGAGACUUGAGUGCAGAAGAGGAGAGUGGAACUCCAUGUGUAGCGGUGAAAUGCGUAGAUAUAUGGAAGAACACCAGUGGCGAAAGCGGCUCUCUGGUCUGUAACUGACGCUGAGGUUCGAAAGCGUGGGUAGCAAACAGGAUUAGAUACCCUGGUAGUCCACGCCGUAAACGAUGAAUGCUAAGUGUUGGAGGGUUUCCGCCCUUCAGUGCUGCAGCUAACGCAAUAAGCAUUCCGCCUGGGGAGUACGACCGCAAGGUUGAAACUCAAAGGAAUUGACGGGGGCCCGCACAAGCGGUGGAGCAUGUGGUUUAAUUCGAAGCAACGCGAAGAACCUUACCAGGUCUUGACAUCUUCUGACAAUCCUAGAGAUAGGACUUUCCCUUCGGGGACAGAAUGACAGGUGGUGCAUGGUUGUCGUCAGCUCGUGUCGUGAGAUGUUGGGUUAAGUCCCGCAACGAGCGCAACCCUUAUUGUUAGUUGCCAGCAUUAAGUUGGGCACUCUAGCAAGACUGCCGGUGACAAACCGGAGGAAGGUGGGGAUGACGUCAAAUCAUCAUGCCCCUUAUGACCUGGGCUACACACGUGCUACAAUGGACGGUACAACGAGUCGCAAGACCGCGAGGUUUAGCAAAUCUCUUAAAGCCGUUCUCAGUUCGGAUUGUAGGCUGCAACUCGCCUACAUGAAGUCGGAAUCGCUAGUAAUCGCGGAUCAGCAUGCCGCGGUGAAUACGUUCCCGGGCCUUGUACACACCGCCCGUCACACCAUGAGAGUUUGUAACACCCAAAGCCGGUGGGGUAACCUUUUGGAGCCAGCCGUCUAAGGUUGGACC
This 1453-nucleotide ribosomal RNA is filed under the name Ligilactobacillus sp. Its description in RNAcentral is "partial 16S ribosomal RNA". It matches the Rfam family "Bacterial small subunit ribosomal RNA". The record is from RNAcentral. Lineage: Bacteria; Bacillati; Bacillota; Bacilli; Lactobacillales; Lactobacillaceae.